GAGUUUAAUCAUGGCUCAGGAUGAACGCUGGCGGCGUGCUUAACACAUGCAAGUCGAACGGAGCUAUCUUUCGGGAUAGUUCAGUGGCGCACGGGUGAGUAACACGUAGCUUAUCUACCCCAAAGCGUGGGAUAACGCUCCGAAAGGAGUGCUAAUACCGCAUAAGCUCACGAGCUCUAGAGGCUCAUGAGAAAAGGCUGGUCGCAAGACACAGUCACUUUGGGAGGAGGCUGCGGCCCAUCAGGUAGUUGGUGUGGUAACGGCACACCAAGCCGACGACGGGUAGGGGACCUGAGAGGGUGAUCCCCCACACUGGGACUGAGACACGGCCCAGACUCCUACGGGAGGCAGCAGUGAGGAAUAUUGCCCAAUGGAGGAAACUCUGAGGCAGCGACGCCGCGUGGGUGAAGAAGGCCUUCGGGUCGUAAAGCCCUUUUCUUGCGUGACGAGAAGGACGGUAGCGCAGGAAUAAGUCUCGGCUAACUACGUGCCAGCAGCCGCCGCGGUAAG
Molecule: ribosomal RNA, 510 nt
Filed under: uncultured Anaerolineae bacterium
Lineage: Bacteria; Bacillati; Chloroflexota; Anaerolineae
Description: bacterial SSU rRNA
Rfam family: Bacterial small subunit ribosomal RNA
Source: RNAcentral